CACUAGCAGCCCGAGUGGUAGUCGUUUUUAUUUGGCUUAAAGCGUCCGUAGUCUGACUAGUAAGUUCUCUGUGAAAUCCUGUCGCUUAACAAUAGGGCUUGCAGAGAAUACUACUAAUCUUGGAGCCAGGAAAGGUUAGGGGUAUUCCAGGGGUAGCGGUGAAAUGUUAUAAUCCCUGGAGGACCACCAAUGGCGAAGGCACCUAACUGGAAUGGGCUCGACGAUGAGGGACGAAAGCUAGGGGAGCAAACCGGAUUAGAUACCCCAGUA
Molecule: ribosomal RNA, 270 nt
Filed under: uncultured prokaryote
Description: partial 16S ribosomal RNA
Rfam family: Archaeal small subunit ribosomal RNA
Source: RNAcentral